GUCUGGAUGAGUUUUAAAGAAGUUCCCCUCAGGUUUAUUUUCAUUUCUAAUCAACUUUAAUUAUCUCUGAAACCCUGAAGGCUGAUGGCAAUAAUAAAGGCAGAAUACGUGGAGCGCUGCACUCACUGUCUGAUCCGUCCAUGCAUCCAUUCUGCAUGUUUGUUUUUGCUGAUGUUGGACACAUACUCUGUCCUUUUAUCAAUCUGAUUCCCAGAGUCAGUCUGGGUUUCAUGUCGGUGUUUCAAACUGGAGGAAUAAAGACGCAGAAUCAUCAACACGAACUCUCCGACCCUGAUCGAACUUCAAAGAAUGAAGAGAAACUGAGAUCUGACGACAAAAGUAAGAAAACAAGGAAAAAUACAUUCACUCUGGUUUGAAAUACAAAACAUGUGUCACUGACAGAAAUUAAAGGGAUAUUCUGGUGUAAAAUUAAUUUAGGGUCAAACACACCAUAACACAGAGUUAGACACCCCCUCCUGAGAUGAAUGUUGCUCACCUACUCUCUUCCAGCAGACGCUUGUUCGUAGUGAGACCUCAGGCCAGUCCAUUACGGACUACAGUGGGGUGUCGCAGCUCAAGGAAGAACAUUUAUGAUCAUUUUUUUAUCAUUUCCUUUAAGUAAUAAUCACCAUAUUAAUCAUUUUACAGACGCAGUAGUUCUUCUGUCUUAGCGUCUCGGUCUGAUUGUAUUUCCAUGAAGAAAUGAUCAUAAAUGUUCUUCCUUGAGCUGCGGCACCCCGCUGUAGUCCGUAAUGGACUGGCCUGAGGUCUCGGAGGGGGUGUCUAACUCGGUAUUACGGUGUGUUUGACCCUGAAUUAAUUUUACGCUGGAAUAUCCCUUUAAAGUGGACUGGAACCACCUGAGGGAGCUUUGAUGAUUUACAAACCAGAUAAAUGUGGUUUUUGGUGCAGGUGGGGUGCAGCUGAACUUACAGCACAAAUGCAGACGGUGUUGGCACCCAUCCUUGGUCUCCUGAAUCUGAGAAGGCAGCCCAUGAAGGACGGAGCUCAGAGCCAAACUGGGUCGGAGUGGAGGUGUGGACUGAACAUGGAUCUGGAGGAAGUCUGGUGGUGAGGUUAUUGGACUUAAUUCUGUGUGGAGACGUGUCGUCUGAUUUUAUGUUUCAGGACCACAUGAAGAUGAGACGUUAUUCAGACAAAUGUGAUAAAAACCAUUUUAAAUGUUAUUAAAAUAUCUGAACUCUGAC
Non-coding RNA from Xyrichtys novacula (pearly razorfish), 1208 nucleotides. Lineage: Eukaryota; Metazoa; Chordata; Actinopteri; Labriformes; Labridae. The record is from the annotation of a GenBank genome assembly.